ACGAGUUUUCUCCUUAAACUAUCGCUAACAGCCAACACUCAAAAUGUAAUGUGAAAAGGGUAAUAUAGUUUUCUGUACCUAAUUAUUUGUUCGUUUGCUUCUGCUUUUCCUAUUAUAGCCUAUCACCUAACACCACAAGUAUUUUGAUUGAAUUGGAUUUCUGUGACAGAAAUUGUAAUGUGGAACGUCUGCUGCUGUUGUUUGAUCGCCAAUAGAAGUUCACCCCCUUCACUCAAUAUCUUUAGCGAAUGCCUAUCUGUAGGACAGUCGAAGAUCUAUGAGGCUAUGAUUAAUGAAACUCUCAAUAUUCAAUUUUCGUUCAAUGAUACUGUUAAAAGUAAUGUAUUGAUUUGUGACAGCUGCAUUUUGAAGACAAAGCAAGCAUGUGCUUUUAAAAAGACUGUGUUACAAAGUCAGCAGAUGCUUACAAAAUUUCUGGAGAGUUUACAAUGUAAUAGUAAUAAUAAACUUAACGACAUAUUAGAAGAAAUGAUCAAAACAGAGUCCAAUGAUAACAGGUCUGAUAUAAGUUAUGAUAAUGACAAAACAUCUCUUGAGGAUGAAAUAUUUAUUGUUAGAAAUCAAGAACCUAAAAUGUUAAUAAAAUGUUGCUCUACAGACUUAUCAGUUACAAAACAGAAUCAAGAAAUUUCAUUGCAAGCUGUAUCAUAUGUAAAACAAGUAUCUAUGUCUAAAGAUGAAGCCAAAAAUUCAAACAAUGGUGGAGGAAAUGAUUGUAAUAAAGUUAUAGCACAUCGUGGUAAUGGACCAAUAUUGAGAGAAAACUCUUUGAAAGUGCUGAAAAAUUCUACAGUAUUUGCCUUCCAAUGGUAUAAAAGCAAAUACACUUGUUUCUGUUGUCAAAAAUCUUUUUCAAAUAUGGAUAAGCUUAGAAUUCAUGCAACAAAACACACCUUGAAAGAUAUAGAAAAAAAAAUAAUACUUCAAAAAAAUAUGUUAGUCAAAGUAGAAGUGUCUGUCUUGAAUUGCAAAUUAUGUUGUAAACCUUUAGAGGAUUUAGAAAAGUUAAGGGAACACCUGCAAGUCGAUCAUAAUUUUGACUUUCAACUUAAAGAAGAUUUAUUGGUCCCUUUCAAGAUUCAAGGAGACACAUUAGAGUGCCAGAUAUGUUCUGAAAAGUUUACCAUGUUUAGAUUAUUGAACAUUCACAUGAACAAGCAUUUCCAGAAACAAGUGUGUCAUGUGUGCGGUGCUACUUUCUCAAACCUAAAAUUCCUCAAUUUACACAAGUCUAGGUUACAUAGACGUUUAAACUGCAAAGAAUGUAAUGUAGAAUUUUUAUCGAAAAUUGAAAAAAGAAACCAUGAUUUCACAGUGCAUAAGAUAAAAUCUGCCAAAAAAUUUAGAUUUCCAUGUCCUCAUUGUGAUGAAAGAUACUAUCAGGAAAGGUUCAGAGUUUUACAUUUGGUAGAAAAGCAUGGUAUGCACCGUCCAGAGCAUAAAUGCUCCAUGUGUGCAAAAGUAUUUAUAACAAAGAGCCUUUGCAACAGUCAUUAUAAGGUUGUACACAAGAAAGAGAGAAAACAUUCAUGUGAUAUUUGUAAUCAUCAGUUUUACACAAAGUCAGGUGUUGCAAGACAUCGGGUCACACACACUGGUGAGAAAAAAUUUUCAUGUGCCAUUUGUAGUGGCCGAUUUGCAACAAAGGACUCUUUGAGAAGGCACAUGAAAAGAACACAUGCUGCUACUUUUUGAAUCUAUCUGAACAAGAAGAGAAUAUAAAAAUAAAAGAAUUUUAAGUAUUUUUAUAAAUUAAGGUAGAAGAAAUUGCAGAACUGACCUGGAAUCUGCAGCAAUGUUUUAUAGAAGCAACAGUGCUCAAUCCAUUAUUACUGAAAUAUCCAAUAAAUAAGAAUUUUUCAAGAUUAUAUUUGAAGAAAUUGAUAGACUAUUU
Molecule: RNA transcript, 1915 nt
Organism: Amyelois transitella
Lineage: Eukaryota; Metazoa; Arthropoda; Insecta; Lepidoptera; Pyralidae
Gene name: protein-lysine N-methyltransferase EEF2KMT
Exons: 3
Source: RefSeq, a predicted model, not a curated record